This is a non-coding RNA of Gorilla gorilla gorilla (western lowland gorilla), 148 nucleotides long. It matches the Rfam family "Metazoan signal recognition particle RNA". From Rfam's summary of the family: The signal recognition particle (SRP) is a universally conserved ribonucleoprotein. NCBI's taxonomy places the organism in Eukaryota, Metazoa, Chordata, Mammalia, Primates, Hominidae. The record is from Rfam.
GCUGGGUGUGGUGGUGCAUGCCUGUAUUCCCAGUUACUUGUGAGGCUGAGGUGGGAGGAUUGCUUGAGCCCAGGAGGUUGAGGCUGCAGUGAGCUGCGGUCACACCACUGCACUCCAGCCUGGGUGACAGAGCAAGAUCCUGUCUCAA